CAGCAACCGCAGCAAGUACGCUGCCUUGCCUCAACCCUGUUGCUCGGCGAUCGCCCCUUGGGUCGCAGCAACUGCAACCACAUCAACGCAGUCGUCUUCCAACCUCGGCACUCUCACCUCACGUAGCGAUAGAAAUAGGGCAGCUACUCUUCCUCCAACGCAGCGAUCGCAGCACUGCCCUUGGCGUCCACCUCCUUGGCAACUUCGCAUCGACAGUAUUGAUGCCCUUGACCGAUA
This 237-nucleotide long non-coding RNA is filed under the name Musa acuminata (dwarf banana). RNAcentral's name for it is "long non-coding RNA (MACU_LNC007909)". The record is from RNAcentral. Lineage: Eukaryota; Viridiplantae; Streptophyta; Magnoliopsida; Zingiberales; Musaceae.